This is a non-coding RNA of Gyrodon lividus, 83 nucleotides long. Lineage: Eukaryota; Fungi; Basidiomycota; Agaricomycetes; Boletales; Gyrodontaceae. The record is from the annotation of a GenBank genome assembly.
GGCUGCCUGGCGAAAUGGCAUCGCGUCUGACUACGAUGUCAUACGUAAUCAGGAGAUUGCAGGUUCGACCCCUGCGGUGGUCA